AUUGAGUCUUGACUCUUGUGGCUCUUGUUUUAUCUUGCUGAAAAUUCUCUAAACGAGAAAAGUAAAAAUCACGAUAUUUAUUUUGCUUUCUUAAUUAGUACAAAAUAAUUAACUAAUAAUGACAAGCAAAAGUCAUCUCGCAUAUCGAAUCAGUGAUUGACUGACUGGCAUCACGGCAUUUGGUGUAGAAUAUUCCACAAAAUUAAAUUAGUCUGCAACAGAUUGGUGAAAUUUUUUUUUGUUGAAAGACAUUUCAUCAACUCCGGCGGAGGCCUACGAAAGAUUCCAUUUCUGUGCAUCGAUUGUGAGAAAAUAGGAGGGAUGAGAAAGCCUCCGUCUUGUUAAUGACUUUGUAGUGUGAUGGAAUAAUCCAUUGAAGUGAGGCGGCUGCAAGCCUACCUGUGUCAAGGAUAAUCCUACUUUGAUGGCUUAAUUAAAAGCUUUCUGGCCUCAUCCGGAAUUCAGAUUACGGAAGGACGGAUAAGAGAGGAUGGCAUUUCACUUGUACACAAGCAAACAAACCUCACAUUCUACCACGGACAGCUGGAUGACUCGCAAAUCCUUUCACUGGUGAGCGACGCACCUCUUGUUAAUUCACUCAAAGCUGAUCCAAGUUCUAGUUUCUCUUCUUUUGACGCCUUCGCUUGUUAUACGUGACAUCCUCCGUCGACAUGCAAGUAGCUGGGCGUGUCCUAAACUCCUAUUAACCUUCCCAUCAAAAGAACUGAUUUAGCCUACUGACAACACUGACCAAAUCAGCAUUGCUUCCAUUAUUCUGAUCAAGGUAUAUUACUUGUUCUACAUUUCUUUAUAGUUUUCUUCUUGCUAAUUACCAUAAGUUAACCGGAGUGAUGCGUUACUCAGUUAAUUACAGUUUGAAUAAAGAAAAUUAAGGUAUAUCUAGUGACACAACCACGGAGUUUAACCGCAAAUCAGGGGUAUUUCUUAUAUUUUCUUGGUCUGUUACACUUACACCAGUUGUGUUUAGUUUAAUCUUUUUGUUCCAAUGAAAUGAAAUUGAAAAGGUAAAGCAUUUCUGCGUUGCAACAGUGCAUCCGUAUUUUUCAAUUGCGUACGAGGAAAAGGUCAAAGAUAAUUGAUUGCUUUGUUUAACAUAUAAAACACCAGCGAAAAAAAGGUUUCCUUCGCUUUUCUUUGCCACUGCGUUUUCAAACGAUUGGUUGUGAGUAGGAUCGACUUUGGGGGAUUCGAUGAGACCAAUUUCACUUGCCGGGACAUCUUUAACCAUAUUAUCACCCACCGGUAUCUUGACAUGAGUGGUCCUCUACCCUUUGCCGUCGUUCCACGCGACCCCCCCCCCCCCUUCUCCAUUAUAGUUUAGAAUUGCACAUCUAAACAUAAUUUGUGACGUGUGUGUCAUCACGCUUAAAUGAAAUGUUUGGUUUUGUUUUUCUUUUCAUUUAGUCACAUUAGAUUCUCCCAUUUCAGGAAAUGGAAGAAUUUUCUUGGGACUUAGAAAAUUCGAAGUUUAUUAACAGUACGAACAUCCAAUCUUGUUACCAGUUUCAUUGUUUUUUUAAGCAAAGAAAAUUAAUGUUACAUUUUUCUCUCUCUUCCUUGAAAUGUCACUCGUAAGUUACGAAUUCGCCAUUCCAGUCCUUUCAGUUAUUUGGCAAAUUUGAACAGGGUUUUCACGGGAAAGGGCAUUUUUAGCGAUGGUAUGCCUUCUGUAAAUUUUGGUUUGCAAUAGGCAUUGUUUCGCUUUAUAAACAAUUUAUUAUCCUUGUAUAGUAAUUACCCACCACUAAAGAGAUCCCUUAAGGUUUUCAACUUUCAACGCAACAAUUUAUUCUUUUUUUUAUUUGUAGGUCUAAUGAUGAUUUAGGUAUUAGAAACUAUUUGCAUAUAUUAUUCUGAAAGAUAUUUUCGUUCGUUUUUUCCCGACUCUGCUCAGUAUAUUUUAAUUUCCCGUCGCUGUUGUGUCUGUGCAACUGCCACUA
Molecule: long non-coding RNA, 1961 nt
Filed under: Daphnia pulicaria
Lineage: Eukaryota; Metazoa; Arthropoda; Branchiopoda; Diplostraca; Daphniidae
Description: uncharacterized LOC124350375
Source: RNAcentral